GACGAACGCUGGCGGCGUGCUUAACACAUGCAAGUCGAACGGAAAGGCCCUGCUUUUGUGGGGUGCUCGAGUGGCGAACGGGUGAGUAACACGUGAGUAACCUGCCCUUGACUUUGGGAUAACUUCAGGAAACUGGGGCUAAUACCGGAUAGGAUCUCCUGCUGCAUGGUGGGGGUUGGAAAGUUUCGGCGGUUGCGGAUGGACUCGCGGCUUAUCAGCUUGUUGGUGGGGUAGUGGCUUACCAAGGCUUUGACGGGUAGCCGGCCUGAGAGGGUGACCGGCCACAUUGGGACUGAGAGACGGACCAGACUCCUACGGGAGGCAGCAGUGGGGAAUAUUGCACAAUGGGCGGAAGCCUGAUGCAGCAACGCCGCGUGCGGGAUGACGGCCUUCGGGUUGUAAACCGCUUUCGCCUGUGACGAAGCGUGAGUGACGGUAAUGGGUAAAGAAGCACCGGCUAACUACGUG
This 468-nucleotide ribosomal RNA is filed under the name uncultured bacterium. Its description in RNAcentral is "partial 16S ribosomal RNA". It matches the Rfam family "Bacterial small subunit ribosomal RNA", at positions 28 to 507 of the family's 1533-position model. The record is from RNAcentral.